UUUUGUUGCCUUUGACACUCCCUCACUGAAUCUUUCUGGUUUGAAUUCCUUCGCGUCUUCACCCCAUAAUUCCUUGUCAUAAUGAAUUAAUAUUGUGGGUAUAAUGAGUAGCACUCCAGCUGGUAAACUCAGCUCCCCUAAUUUGACUUCAUGUUUGUUCCUUCUACGAUAUGUUGGUACUGAGGGGAAUAGCCUUAACGUCUCGUGCAAGAUCAUUGUCAUCUAAGGAAAGAAAAAUGUAUUGGAUAAGUUGGAAGUAGAAUUAGUUCACUUCUUACAAAAUUUAGAUGUCAUACCUUUCAGAGAUCUUUUAGUCUCCGAGUAAAUGCCCCUAGGAGACUGGAAUAGGCCGAUAGAAAAUGUGGUUUAUCUGAUCUCAGUGGGAACAAUUUGGCAUUAAUGAUGGGCAAGACGAUAUAACAACUACUUAUUUUAUCGUUGAUUUUACAGUGUUUUUCAUCUUUAAAAUUCGAUCUAUGCAGUGAUCUUGGGCUAUUUUAAGUUAUCUUACAUAAUGAACUGGUGGAAAGUACUUACAAUUUUGAGGUGACUUAGACCUUCCGAAUUCGGUUUUUCAUUUCCGAAGACCUGCAACACCUCCUCUCUGGCACGUGCUUGCCACUCUGGAUGUAGGCUCAACAAAAUCAUUGUCCACACGAGCAACACUGAAGCGGUCUCUUGUCCAGCAAAAUAGAAUAACUUGCAUUCUUCAAUCAUUUCAAUUGUUGUUAUUCCGAAAUCUUUGCUUCUGUGUUGUUCAAUUUCUCUCAUAUUGGAUUCAAGUAAUAUGCCUAAUAAGUCAUCUUUACUAGUUUCCCCUGCUUCCAUUGCCCUCAAUCUUUUGUCGAUGAUACGUCUAAUAGUUGUUUGGACUUGCUUUUCGAUUUCCAGCAUUCUUUUGUUCCUUUUAGUAGGCAAGAACCUAACAAAACAAAUUUAAAAGCAAACAAGAAAAGUGUUUUUAGUAGAAAGGAAUGAACAUGUGGUUUUCGAUGUUAUGUAGAAAUUUCACAAAUAAAUUGUUAUACCUUGUUCCUGGUAUAUAAACUGAACGAAUUAUGUUAAUUACAUACUCAGCUUGUUCUUUCUGAAGUUCAAAUACUAUUCUCCCUUCUUCAUAGCUACUCCCAAAUGCAGUUCGAGAAAUGACUUCAGCGGUAAUUAAUUGAAGGUCUGGCCAUACAUCGAGCUCGAAAGAUGUUUCCUUUGGAAUAAUCUCCUCCCAUUUGCUUAUCAUUUCGCUACAACUCUGGUAAAAUGCUGGCAACAUAUGCUGUACAAAAGAAAUUAAUCUCAAAAAGGUGGUUCAAAAGUUGCUAUAGAUUUCAGGUUCAAAUCUCAGGUGUGGCAUGCUUGCAUUGUUUUAAAUCCACUUCACGUUGUUUGUUACUGCACUCGUGGACAUAAACGGACAACUUCAUAAUGUUAAGACAUUUCAAUAUGCUAUCUUAAGUUCUAAGCAUGAAAAUUUACCAAUGUUUGCUAAAUCUAUUAGUACUAAGAAUAUGAAGUGAAUAUAACCUUUAACUUCUCAAGUUGGAAAGCAGGUUGGAUGAUCUUUCUGUGUUUGGCCCAUUUGUCUUCCUCAAGCUUCGCAAGACCUAGAGCCAAUUUCUUGGCAAAUGGAUUGGGAUGAGUUUGCCUUUGGUACACAUAAUUCUUUGUCAAAAUCUCCUUUACAUGUUCAGGGUCUGUGAUCAACACUACUGGAUAUGGGCCUAGCCACAUAAAAGAACUUUUACCUGAGAGUAAUCCAUUUCGAUUAGAAAAAAAAGAGGCAAAAUACAUCAACAUACACUCAAAUUUAAUCCCAACUGACAAGCAAGCACUCCAACUUCGAGAGUGCACAUAUGUUGACAUGUUAACCAUACAUCUUUUUUACUUUGCCUGAUUUGGUGCAAGAAAACACAGGCAAGUAAGUUAUCAACUAUGAAUUCAUAGGGCUCUAAUUGCUUAGGUAAUUGCAUCAGUCAACUAUAGUCUUUAGUUGAGAUCAGGGGAGGAGCAACCACAAAACGUAUUGGUUCAUGUGAACUAUGUAGCUUUUGUCAAGAUCUUGUUUAUUAUAUGUAUUUUAGGAACCAUAAAUGUUUGAUCGUAUAUCCAUUUAUAUACACUUAAGGUCCCUAUUAAAAUCCAUAAAUUUCAAAUCUUGGAUCUGCCUCUACUUGAGAGUUCACGGCCCUCUGAACUCAUGGAUGGAGCUAGGGUACCAAAAAGUGAUUCAUCUAGAUCCUCUUUACAAAAAAUUACACUGCAUAAAGACAAGAAUAGAAAAAAUUUAUUCCUUUAAAGAAGAAUAAAUGAAACAUACCGUUUUUAUUGAUGGCGUUGGCGAAAAAAGGGUUGAUUCUUUGAGCUAUACCGUCAGAGAAAUUGAUGGGCUUAGAUUUGGCUUCAUUGAGUUUAUCUGUGAGUUCCUUCAAAUCUCCAUAGAGUAAUUUGUAUGGAUUUCCCUUAAGACCACUCUUUCUUAAGUAUUUCUCAAGUUUUUUUGGCCUAAACCAUGCCCAAUUCAACAGUUUCCAUGUAUAUACCAACAAAACUGCAACAUAAAUUGCUGUUAUAAUUGUGUUGUAAGAAAUCUCCAUGAAAUUAAUAAAAUGCUUCUUUCUAGCUGCUUCCUUUUACAUAGAAAAAAGAGGGGAAGUUAGCUAAUUUAUAACCUUUUAAUUUAUUGGAUUUGACUCCUUUCCAUUUUCCCCAAAUUCUUGAUUUGAUUGCUGAGAUUUAACUAACCAAAGAAAGUCUUUGACUAUGGUUCAGAUAAUAAAUACAUUAUAUAUUUAGUUUCAAAUAUUAUUGUAAUCUCACAAUCUUAGCAACAUAUUAUUAUCUUGUCCAUAAAAAUAGUAAAAAAUAAAGGCAUAAUACAAUAAUAUACCCUUUAACUUUUUUUAAAAAAACCUUUAACUUGGCUUUGGCGGACAUCUAUGCCCUCCAAAUUUAGGUGUACAAAAGUAGAUACUUAAGCUUAUAUGAAAUUGAACAUGUAGCCACAUACAUCUACGUGGCAUAAUACAUGUAGAAUACUACAUAGGACACAAAAUUGCCAUGUAGGACGUCAUGACCUAAGACGAAUGUGUCUAUUUGUUUAGUUUUAUAUAAGCUUAAUACUCAAAAGUGAUUCUUUUUAUAGAUUGAACAAGCUUAUCUCUUCUUCUUCUCCUUUUUCCUUUUUGUUUCAUCCGUUUACACAUAUUAAAUUAAAGGUAUGAACUAUUAAAUCUAAAUAUUACACAAUUUGAUUUUUGGUGCAUCCAUUUUUCAAAAAAAAAAUUAUUUUUAACUUGGACACCCUUCAUAAAAUUCUAUAGAGACAUUUCUAAACCAAACUAUUAGCGGUAGAUGAAUUUUGGAUCAAACUAUUAACGAUAAGGACAUUUUUAGAUCAAACUAUUAAUGGAGUGCAUUUUUGUUCAAUUUCACAUAUUUUAAGGGUAUUUUGACCCUUUUCCAAUUAAAAUAAUUGGACAAUAAAUACAUCCUAAAAUGGAAAAAAAUACAAAUGCAAUAUCGAAUGUAAUAGAUUUGUUAGUCAUUCCUCAUCCAAAAAUGAAGGCAAGACUUACUCAAAGGCUCAAACUCCUAUGUUGAAAAAAUUACUUUGAAUAUACUCUCUCCGUCAUAAAAUAAGUGUCACUUUAGCUGAUCAUUUCACACUUAUUAAGAAAAAUAACAAAUAAAAGAUAUAGUUUACUAAGUUAUCCCUUUUAAUUAGAUUUUUCUUGAGAGUCGAGUACUAUUUAAAGGAAGUAGUUCUUUAAUACAAGGGUGUAGUUGGAAACACAAACUAUAUUUUGUUUUGAAUUCCUAUAUAUGAUUCUUCUAGCAAAGCUCAAGGUAUAUUUGAUAUUCUUUAUACAUGAUUUUUUUUACUUGUGAACGGCUAAUUUUGAGUUUUAAAUAUCUCCCUUAUACAUAUACUUGCUUAUCAUUUUUUUGCGGCUAUAUUAUAAUCUAAUUUUUGUAUCUAUAAAAUAAAAUUGAGGCAUCUAAGAUAAAUUUUAGGGAAAAUGCAUAAGUACCCCCCCCCCCCCCCNNNNNNNNNNNNNNNNNNNNNNNNNNNNNNNNNNNNNNNNNNNNNNNNNNNNNNNNNNNNNNNNNNNNNNNNNNNNNNNNNNNNNNNNNNNNNNNNNNNNNNNNNNNNNNNNNNNNNNNNNNNNNNNNNNNNNNNNNNNNNNNCCCGAACUUAUUUUAUAAAUAAUUUUCUACCCCUUUUUGGCCUACGUGGCACUAUCAAUGAAAUAAUUGUCAACACACGCGGGGCCCAAAAAAUAGUGCCACGUAGGCCGAAAAGGGGUAUACAAUUAUUUAUAAAAUAAGUUCAGGAGGGUAAUAGGACCUUAGUAUAGUAUAAGUGUAUCUCUGAGAUUUCGGGCAUAGGUUGGGGGUACUUAUGCAUUUUCUCUAAAUUUUAUAGGUAAAUGAGUGGGAAUUUUUUUUUGACAAUCUAAAAAUAAUUUUUUUUUUUUUUCAAUCAUGUUAAACCUAAAGGGUAUUUCUUGGUCAUUUGCGUAUCAGUAAGCAUAUAUGCACUUUUACAAUGAGAGUAUAUCAAUUCUGAAUCGCAAAGUUGAGGUAUGAGACUCUUUUCCCUUUAUUAAAAGCAAAUAAGUCGAACAAAAGGUCGGCCCAAAAGUGACCAGCCCAGCUCAAUACCACAAUGUUGAAAUAGGAAAAGAGCAAUUUCUUAAAUAUGAGCAACAUCUAUUUCAAAGUUUGCGCAUAAGGAGAGGAGCACCAUACUGUGGACGAAUAGUAAAUGAUGCAACUGGAGCAUGUGUAUAAGACGGAGAGAGUUCGAAGGAGAACUUUUGUAGAAUCAUUGCUAUUGCCAUUUUUGCUUCUAUCAUUGCAAAGUUUUGUCCGAUGCAAACUCGAGGUCCCCCGGAAAAUGGAAUAAACGAGAAGUGUCCUUUGGUUGCCUUUGACACUCCUUCACUGAACCUUUCUGGUUUGAAUUCCUUCGCGUCUUCACCCCAUAAUUCCUUGUCAUAAUGAAUUAAUACUGUAGGUAUAAAGAGUAGCACUCCAACUGGUAGACUCAGAUCCCCUAAUUUGACUUCAUCUUUGUUCCUUCUACGAUAUGUAGGUACUGGGGGGAAUAGCCUUAAUGUCUCGUGCAAGAUCAUUG
This 5137-nucleotide long non-coding RNA is filed under the name Solanum tuberosum (potato). Its description in RNAcentral is "long non-coding RNA (STUB_LNC007692)". The record is from RNAcentral. Lineage: Eukaryota; Viridiplantae; Streptophyta; Magnoliopsida; Solanales; Solanaceae.